Molecule: ribosomal RNA, 700 nt
Filed under: uncultured beta proteobacterium
Lineage: Bacteria; Pseudomonadati; Pseudomonadota; Betaproteobacteria
Description: bacterial SSU rRNA
Rfam family: Bacterial small subunit ribosomal RNA
Source: RNAcentral
AGUGGCGAACGGGUGAGUAAUAUAUCGGAACGUACCUUAUUGUGGGGGAUAACGCAGCGAAAGCUGUGCUAAUACCGCAUAAUCCCUAAGGGGGAAAGCGGGGGACCGUAAGGCCUCGCGCAAUUAGAGCGGCCGAUACCUGAUUAGCUAGUUGGUGAGGUAAAGGCUCACCAAGGCAACGAUCAGUAGCUGGUCUGAGAGGACGAUCAGCCACACUGGGACUGAGACACGGCCCAGACUCCUACGGGAGGCAGCAGUGGGGAAUUUUGGACAAUGGGGGCAACCCUGAUCCAGCAAUGCCGCGUGAGUGAAGAAGGCCUUCGGGUUGUAAAGCUCUUUUGUCAGGGAAGAAACAGCAGCUCUAACACAGUUUGCGAAUGACGGUACCUGAAGAAUAAGCACCGGCUAACUACGUGCCAGCAGCCGCGGUAAUACGUAGGGUGCAAGCGUUAAUCGGAAUUACUGGGCGUAAAGCGUGCGCAGGCGGUUAUGUAAGACAGGCGUGAAAUCCCCGGGCUUAACCUGGGAAUUGCGCUUGUGACUGCAUAGCUAGAGUAUGUCAGAGGGGGGUAGAAUUCCACGUGUAGCAGUGAAAUGCGUAGAGAUGUGGAGGAAUACCAAUGGCGAAGGCAGCCCCCUGGGAUAAUACUGACGCUCAUGCACGAAAGCGUGGGGAGCAGACAGGAUUAGAUACCCUGGU